AAAUUAUGCAAUUUAAGUUUCUAAAAGUUAAGCCAUUUACCCAGGGCAAGCCACAAACUGACUGACUUAGCUGAUUCAGGACUUUGUCCAGGUCUGCUUAACUCCAAAGCCAAUCUUCUUCCUCUGAGGAAGAAUUGAGUGGAAGUGAAAAUUUGGAUGGAAAGUCCCAGCCACCAGUAACAUUCCUCAGUGCACCACUAGAGUCCCCUCCCCAGUACCCAUUCCCAGUUUGGAUCUUGAAAGUGUUGUUUCAAGCCAAGUGACGGGUCUUCUACUUCUCUUUUCUUGACUCAUUUUUAAUUUUUGUGCUUCUCGGGGAUGCUUCCUCUGCUUGUCUUUCCCCCCUUGACUCUUGUCUCCUUCCUCUCCCCCAUCAGGUUUAUGGGGGACAAAAGCGCCACCUGUUGGUCAUGUUGUAGGGACUUAUUUGAAGUAGGAAAUCAUUGGAAUGAAGCCAGGAUCUCUGGGAUGCCAUACUAGCCUGAUGGGGACCAGGUCCUUGUUCUAGUCGGAAACCCACUUGUUUUGUGUUGAAUAGGAAACUGGCUGCAGUUCCCACAUUCUCUGAGAAUCCCACCCAAAUCUCCUGCUUCCUCUCCACUUCCUCUUGGCAGCUCAUGGUAGCUGCUUUACUGCAGAGAAACUUGGAAUGAGGGUGGGAUGUAUAGUGCAGAGAAAUGCCCUGCAAUUGUAGGAGUGAAACUGAGGAAAACGUGCUAAAGCUAAGGCAGAAAAUAUGAGUUCUACUUUCAGGUCAAAUGCCCAGCCAAGUCUUUCUCUUUCCCUGGUUUUCAUAGCAAUUCUUAAUUUCCCCAGACUCUUAGAUUGGGCCAGGCUCCGUCCUGGUCCACAGCUGAAAGCUCAGAGACAAGUCAGAUACUGUCCCAGCUUACAGACUGUGGCAGGCAGCCACACAGUGUUUUACAUGACAAGAGAGCUGUGAAGUAACCAGGUCACUCACUCAUCUUUAGACUCUACCUUGACUUCUGCCUAAGCCUCUUGUGAAAAUAGGAAGAACAUACCCAGUUCUUUCUGCCAAGGUAUGAUGAGCUUUGUCACUGGCAGGUGAGGGUUUUCUGCUCUAUGGCAAACGAGGUGGACACGUUGAGGCUCUGGCCUGGGCUGCCUCUCAUCUUCAAGGGUGAGGAGACUAGAGACAAGAAACCUGGACCUUACUUGAGGAAAACAGCCCCCACCGUUGGUAGUCCCCAUUUUUCAGAUGGGAGGGACUCAGGAUGACUCAGGCUUCCUGGAGGAGCUUGACUCUGUGUUGAGAUUUGAAGAAUGAGAGAGUAGGAACAGCUGCUCUGGUUCCUAUGAAACCUCUUCCUCCAUCCAUUGGAAUCUUA
This 1349-nucleotide long non-coding RNA is filed under the name Cricetulus griseus (Chinese hamster). RNAcentral's name for it is "lncRNA (ENSCGRG00015036658.1)". Lineage: Eukaryota; Metazoa; Chordata; Mammalia; Rodentia; Cricetidae. The record is from RNAcentral.